Non-coding RNA from Mycena rebaudengoi, 97 nucleotides. Lineage: Eukaryota; Fungi; Basidiomycota; Agaricomycetes; Agaricales; Mycenaceae. The record is from the annotation of a GenBank genome assembly.
GCCCUCGUGGAUGAAAUGGUACAUCACCCGUUCAGUAUUGUGCGGCUCUUAAAGUAGAUGCAAAUGGGAGGCGGGGGUUCGAGUCCCCCCGAGGGCA